This is a long non-coding RNA of Vanessa tameamea, 558 nucleotides long. RefSeq lists it as uncharacterized. NCBI's taxonomy places the organism in Eukaryota, Metazoa, Arthropoda, Insecta, Lepidoptera, Nymphalidae. The transcript has 2 exons. The record is from RefSeq and is a predicted model, not a curated record.
GUCACUAAUUAACUCUGUCAUGGAUAGUAAGUUUUAUGCAAAAAUAUGAAAAUUAAUAAUUAGAAAAUCCCAGGAUUAAAAGUAUGUCUACUUGUCCUGGUUUAUCAAAGGAAUUAUAACUAAAAAUACAAACUUAGGUAGAGAACAUUUUACAUCUUGACAAAACACGAGGGCAAUAGUGUGACGGCGAUAAAAGAUGAUUUGCCUCUCACUGUACGCGCUCAUCGCCUCUGCCACAUUCCUCGCGUGCGUUCCCGUUUGUUACCGACAAUUUGAAAUGCAAAAAUUCAUCAAGUGCCUGAAAAAAUAGGGAUUCUCUAACGACAUGCUCAUAUGUAUGACAUGCGUGACAGCCUUCAUCGCAGCUGGUUGCAUUUCCUGUGGCCCUCUACUAUUGGAUACUUGCCUUAGCCGAUCGAAAUGUGGACAUAGAUUAUUUUCUUUAACAAAAUGUAAAAGUGCAUGUAGCGGUAAUUAAUGUAAUACUUAAAAUUGUAUAUUUACAAUGUUUAACAUAAUAUUUAAUUUGUAUUAAUAAAUCAUUUCAACAUUAAAUAA